This 1666-nucleotide ribosomal RNA is filed under the name metagenome. RNAcentral describes it as "bacterial LSU rRNA". It matches the Rfam family "Bacterial large subunit ribosomal RNA", at positions 1174 to 2925 of the family's 2925-position model. The record is from RNAcentral.
AACGGGGCUAAACCUGACACCGAAGCUUAGGCAAUCCAGCAAUGGAUUGGGUAGGGGAGCGUUGUAUACGCGGAGAAACAGUAGCGUGAGCGGCUGUGGAGUGUAUAGAAGUGAGAAUGCCGGAAUGAGUAGCGCGAAUGCAGUGAGAAUCUGCAUGGCCGAAAGCCUCAGGUUUUUGGAGGAAGGUUCGUCCGCUCCAAGUUAGUCGGGAGCUAAGGUGAGGCCGGAAGGCGUAGCCGAUGCACAGACGGUAGAGAUUCCGUCACCACCAAAAGAGUUAAGCACAGGGACACAUUUGAAGUCUCAGAGCCGGGUGUUGGUUCCGGUAGAGAUCGAGGGAAGUUAGUACCGAAGUCUGGGAUGGAAGAUGGCGAGAAAAGCUGUGUGUAUUUCUGAGGUGCCCGUACCGCAAACCGACACAGGUAGGUAGGAAGAAGAUUCUAAGGCCAACGGGAGAAGGGUUGUUAAGGAACUCGGCAAAUUGACCCCGUAACUUCGGGAGAAGGGGUGCUCCAGAGAUGGAGCCGCAGAGAAUCGGCCCAAGCAACUGUUUACCAAAAACACAGGUUUGUGCUAGAUCGAAAGAUGACGUAUACGAGCUGACGCCUGCCCGGUGCUGGAAGGUUAAGAGGAGAUGUGCAAGCAUUGAAUCGAAGCCCCAGUGAACGGCGGCCGUAACGAUAACGGUCCUAAGGUAGCGAAAUUCCUUGUCAGGUAAGUUCUGACCCGCAUGAAAGGCGUAAUGAUUUGGGCACUGUCUCAACAGCCCGCCCGGCGAAAUUGUAGUACCGGUGAAGAUGCCGGUUACCCGCGACAAGACGGAAAGACCCCAUGGAGCUUUACUGUAGCCUAAUAUUGGGUUUCGAUGUUGCAUGCACAGGAUAGAUGGGACACUGGGAAACAAUCGCUUUGGCGGUUGCGGAGUGGCCGUUGGGAUACCAUCCUUGCGAUAUUGGAAUUCUAACCUGCGGCUCUGAAUCGAGUCGGGGGACAUUGUUAGGUGGGCAGUUUGACUGGGGCGGUCGCCUCCUAAAAAGUAACGGAGGCGUUCAAAGGUUCGCUCAGCUUGAACGGAAAUCAAGCAAAAGAGUGCAAACGCAGAAGCGAGCCUAACUGCGAGACUGACGGGUCGAGCAGUAACGAAAGUUGGAGUUAGUGAUCCGGUGGUAUGUGAGUGGAAAUGCCAUCGCUCAACGGAUAAAAGUUACCCUGGGGAUAACAGGCUGAUCUCCCCCAAGAGUCCACAUCGACGGGGAGGUUUGGCACCUCGAUGUCGGCUCAUCGCAUCCUGGGGCUGUAUUCGGUCCCAAGGGUUUGGCUGUUCGCCAAUUAAAGCGGUACGCGAGCUGGGUUCAGAACGUCGUGAGACAGUUCGGUCCCUAUCUGUCGUGGGCGCAGGAUAUUUGAUGGGAGCUGUCCCUAGUACGAGAGGACCGGGACGGACGUACCUCUGGCGCACCAGUUGUUCCGCCAGGAGCAUAGCUGGGCAACUACGUACGGAUCGGAUAAACGCUGAAAGCAUCUAAGCGUGAAGCCGACCCAAAGAUAAGAUGUCCCAUUGUUUUAAACAAGUAAGACCCCUUGAAGACUACAAGGUUGAUAGGCACGAUGUGUAAGUGGAGCGAUCCAUUCAGCAAGCGUGUACUAAUAGGUCGAGGGCUUGAGC